UACGGGGGGGGCAAGCGUUGUUCGGAAUUACCGGGCGUAAAGGGCUCGUAGGCGGCCAACUAAGUCAGACGUGAAAUCCCUCGGCUUAACCGGGGAACUGCGUCUGAUACUGGAUGGCUAGAGAUUGGGAGAGGGAUGCGGAAUUCCAGGUGUAGCGGUGAAAUGCGUAGAUAUCUGGAGGAACACCGGUGGCGAAGGCGGCAUCCUGGACCAACACUGACGCUGAGGAGCGAAAGCCAGGGGAGCAAACGGG
RNAcentral lists this ribosomal RNA (253 nucleotides) under uncultured bacterium. RNAcentral describes it as "partial 16S ribosomal RNA". It matches the Rfam family "Bacterial small subunit ribosomal RNA", at positions 524 to 776 of the family's 1533-position model. The record is from RNAcentral.